RNAcentral lists this ribosomal RNA (669 nucleotides) under Triticum aestivum (bread wheat). RNAcentral's name for it is "partial small subunit ribosomal RNA". The record is from RNAcentral. Lineage: Eukaryota; Viridiplantae; Streptophyta; Magnoliopsida; Poales; Poaceae.
AUGAAUGCAAAGCUUGAGGCACCCUUCACUGAUGAGGAGAUUAGGACCGCCCUUUUCCAAAUGGGGCCAACAAAGGCGCCGGGGCCGGAUGGCCUACCGGCUAUGUUCUACCAACAGCAUUGGGAGUUGGUUAAAGAUGAUGUGUGUGGCGCAGUACGAGAAUUCUUGGCGGGGAAAGCACCUCCGAACGGAUUUUCGGCCUUGCUCAAGAAAGCGCAGGAGGAGAGGAAGAUCAAGGGGCCGUCUUUUGGAAGCAGAGGGACAACAGUGACACAUCUUCUGUUUGCGGAUGAUAGUGUAGUUUUUGUAGAAGGCUCUCGGGAAAACUUUGAGUCAUUACGUGCUAUUUUGGAGGAAUAUGAGCUUGCAUCGGGGCAAAAAGUGAACCUACAGAAAUCUGCGAUUUUCUUUGGGAAGGAUACACCGGAGAGCACUAAGGAUGAACUCAAGCAAGCCCUGGACAUUGCAGAAGAGGCUCUAAGCGAGAGAUACUUGGGGCUCCCUACGAUGGUGGGGAGAUCAAAGGAUGGGACUUUCAAAUUUGUCAAGGAGAGUGCAAGAGGGAAAGUAUCAGGAUGGAAAGGACAAGGAUUAUCAAAGACUGCGAGGGAGGUGCUAGUAAAGUCCAGCCUCCAAUCAACACCUACUUUUGCCAUGAGCUGCUUCUAA